Arvicanthis niloticus (Nile rat) is the source of this 447-nucleotide non-coding RNA. NCBI's taxonomy places the organism in Eukaryota, Metazoa, Chordata, Mammalia, Rodentia, Muridae. The record is from the annotation of a RefSeq genome assembly.
AUGGACAAGAUCCUGACAGCAUUGGUUUUAGUCCUAGGUCUUCACCUGGCUGGGGUGAGUGGCCAGCAGAAGGAGCAACGUGACCAGCAGCAAGUGAGACAAAAUCCCCAAUCUCUGACAGUCCGGGAAGGAGGAAACAUAGUUCUGAACUGCAGUUAUGAAAACAGCGCUUUUGACUACUUCCCAUGGUACCGGCAGUACCAUGGUACUGGGGAAGGCCCUGCAUUCCUGAUAGCCAUACGAUCAGUGUCCAAUCAAAAGAAAGAUGGAAGAUUCACAGUCUUCUUUAGUAAAAGUGAGAAAAAGUUCUCCUUGCACAUCACAGACUCUCAGCCUGGAGACUCAGCCACCUACUUCUGUGCAGCAAGUGCACAGUGCUCUCCAGGCACCUGCAGCCUAUACUCAAACCUGCAGCUGAGGCUCCAGCAAAGCCCUGCUGUGGGAUGA